GUAUACGGCCAUACCACGUUGAAAGCACCAGUUCUCGUCCGAUCACUGAAGUUAAGCAACGUCGGGCUCGGUUAGUACUUGGAUGGGUGACCGCCUGAGAACUCCGAGUGCUGUAGACG
This 119-nucleotide ribosomal RNA is filed under the name Lottia gigantea (owl limpet). The record is from RNAcentral. Lineage: Eukaryota; Metazoa; Mollusca; Gastropoda; Lottiidae.